UUCGCAAUGCCCGAAAGGGUGACGAUGUGACGCCGCGUGAGCGAAGAAGGCCCUAGGGUUGUAAAGCUCUGCCGAGGGUUAUGAAAUAUAGAUGGGUUAAUACCCCAUUUAUUUGACAAAAGCCCAAAAGGAAGCCACGGCUAACUCUGUGCCAGCAGCCGCGGUAAUACAGAGGUGGCGAGCGUUGUUCGGUAUUAUUGGGCGUAAAGAGCACGUAGGUGGUUUUGUAAGUCAGGUGUGAAAGCCUUCUGUUCAAGGGAAGAACGGCAUCUGAAACUGCAGAUCUUGAGUGUAGGAGGGGAGAGUGGAACUUCUGGUGGAGCGGUGAAAUGCGUAGAUAUCAGAAGGAACGUCGGCGGCGAAAGCGACUCUCUGGCCUAUUACUGGCACUGAGGUGCGAAAGUUAGGGGAGCAAACGGGAUUAGAUACCCCGGUAGUCCUAACCGUAAACGAUGGGCACUAAGUAGAGGGGUUUU
This 476-nucleotide ribosomal RNA is filed under the name uncultured anaerobic ammonium-oxidizing bacterium. Its description in RNAcentral is "bacterial SSU rRNA". It matches the Rfam family "Bacterial small subunit ribosomal RNA", at positions 365 to 832 of the family's 1533-position model. The record is from RNAcentral.